This 486-nucleotide ribosomal RNA is filed under the name uncultured eubacterium WR187. RNAcentral's name for it is "bacterial SSU rRNA". It matches the Rfam family "Bacterial small subunit ribosomal RNA", at positions 9 to 527 of the family's 1533-position model. The record is from RNAcentral.
GAGUUUGAUCAUGGCUCAGAAUCAACGCUGGCGGCGUGCCUAACACAUGCAAGUCGCACGAGAAAGGGAUUUCGGUCCUGAGUAAAGUGGCGCACGGGUGGGUAACACGUGAAUCAUCUACCUCCGAGUGGGGAAUAACCUAGAGAAAUCUGGGCUAAUACCGCAUAACACUUACGAGUCAAAGCAGCAAUGCGCUUGGAGAGGAGUUCGCGGCAGAUUAGCUAGUUGGCGGGGUAAUGGCCCACCAAGGCGAUGAUCUGUAUCCGGCCUGAGAGGGCGCACGGACACACUGGAACUGAAACACGGUCCAGACUCCUACGGGAGGCAGCAGUGGGGAAUUUUGCGCAAUGGGGGAAACCCUGACGCAGCAACGCCGCGUGGAGGAUGAAGCCCCUUGGGGUGUAAACUCCUUUCGAUCGGGAAGAUAAUGACGGUACCGAUAUAAGAAGCCCCGGCUAACUUCGUGCCAGCAGCCGCGGUAAUACG